UCGGACGCUGACGAGUGGCGAACGGGUGAGUAAUACAUCGGAACGUGCCCAGUCGUGGGGGAUAACUACUCGAAAGAGUAGCUAAUACCGCAUACGAUCUGAGGAUGAAAGCGGGGGACCUUCGGGCCUCGCGCGAUUGGAGCGGCCGAUGGCAGAUUAGGUAGUUGGUGGGAUAAAAGCUUACCAAGCCGACGAUCUGUAGCUGGUCUGAGAGGACGACCAGCCACACUGGGACUGAGACACGGCCCAGACUCCUACGGGAGGCAGCAGUGGGGAAUUUUGGACAAUGGGCGAAAGCCUGAUCCAGCAAUGCCGCGUGCAGGAUGAAGGCCUUCGGGUUGUAAACUGCUUUUGUACGGAACGAAAAAGCUCCUUCUAAUACAGGGGGCCCAUGACGGUACCGUAAGAAUAAGCACCGGCUAACUACGUGCCAGCAGCCGCGGUAAUACGUAGGGUGCGAGCGUUAAUCGGAAUUACUGGGCGUAAAGCGUGCGCAGGCGGUUAUGUAAGACAGAUGUGAAAUCCCCGGGCUCAACCUGGGAACUGCAUUUGUGACUGCAUGGCUAGAGUACGGUAGAGGGGGAUGGAAUUCCGCGUGUAGCAGUGAAAUGCGUAGAUAUGCGGAGGAACACCGAUGGCGAAGGCAAUCCCCUGGACCUGUACUGACGCUCA
This 672-nucleotide ribosomal RNA is filed under the name Delftia tsuruhatensis. RNAcentral's name for it is "bacterial SSU rRNA". It matches the Rfam family "Bacterial small subunit ribosomal RNA", at positions 80 to 749 of the family's 1533-position model. Lineage: Bacteria; Pseudomonadati; Pseudomonadota; Betaproteobacteria; Burkholderiales; Comamonadaceae. The record is from RNAcentral.